CCUACGGGAGGCAGCAGUGGGGAAUAUUGGGCAAUGGGCGCAAGCCUGACCCAGCAACGCCGCGUGAAGGAAGAAGGCCCUCGGGUUGUAAACUUCUUUUAUUCGGGACGAAACAAAUGACGGUACCGAAUGAAUAAGCCACGGCUAACUACGUGCCAGCAGCCGCGGUAAUACGUAGGUGGCAAGCGUUAUCCGGAUUUACUGGGUGUAAAGGGCGUGUAGGCGGGAGAGCAAGUCAGACGUGAAAUUCCAGGGCUCAACCCUGGAACUGCGUUUGAAACUGUUCUUCUUGAGUGAUGGAGAGGCAGGCGGAAUUCCUGGUGUAGCGGUGAAAUGCGUAGAUAUCAGGAGGAACACCGGCGGCGAAGGCGGCCUGCUGGACCGCGACUGACGUUGAGGCUCGAAAGCGUGGGGAGCGAACAGGAUUAGAUACCCGGGUAGUC
Molecule: ribosomal RNA, 443 nt
Filed under: uncultured bacterium
Lineage: Bacteria
Description: partial 16S ribosomal RNA
Rfam family: Bacterial small subunit ribosomal RNA
Source: RNAcentral